Paramacrobiotus metropolitanus is the source of this 408-nucleotide long non-coding RNA. RefSeq lists it as uncharacterized. Lineage: Eukaryota; Metazoa; Tardigrada; Eutardigrada; Parachela; Macrobiotidae. The record is from RefSeq and is a predicted model, not a curated record. The transcript has 3 exons.
CAACGCUAGCACCGUACACUUGAUUGUGCACAAUUAGCUCGUGAAAGCGCGUAAUCAACUCUUUACGCCACUGACAAGGUUUCAUCCGGGAAAAAGAAUUUGGACUGCGAACAUACCGCGGUGAUUUCGGACGCUCGUGCACGUUGUCAACAUUUCUAUGAUCGGCCGGUACAGGCGGAAUCGCCGUAGCUUUACCCCCACAAACUUGACUGGAUCCUGUAGCUGUACGACUGACAUCCGGACUAUCGGGUUUCACAUCACGCACAGGCAACUGUUUUACCGCACCCCCACAAACUUGACUGCUCAAUAUUCUUAUUCUUUUGUGGGUGGACACUACCCCCACAAACUUGACUGCUACUGAAUGAACAAUUCUUUUUAGCAGGAGACGUUUCUACAUUAGAAGCAGGA